RNAcentral lists this ribosomal RNA (442 nucleotides) under uncultured bacterium. RNAcentral's name for it is "partial 16S ribosomal RNA". It matches the Rfam family "Bacterial small subunit ribosomal RNA", at positions 338 to 795 of the family's 1533-position model. The record is from RNAcentral.
CCUACGGGAGGCAGCAGUAGGGAAUCUUUCACAAUGGGCGAAAGCCUGAUGGAGCAACGCCGCGUGCAGGAUGAAGGCCUUCGGGUUGUAAACUGCUUUUAUAAGCGAGAAAUAUGAUGGUAACUUAUGAAUAAGGAUCGGCUAACUACGUGCCAGCAGCCGCGGUCAUACGUAGGAUCCGAGCAUUAUCCGGGGUGACUGGGUGUAAAGAGUUGCGUAUGUGGCAUAAUAAGUAGCUAGUGAAAUCUGGUGGCUCAACCAUUCAGACUAUUAGCUAAACUGUUAAGCUCGAGACCGUUAGGGGUAACUGGAAUUUCUAGUGUAGGAGUGAAAUCCGUAGAUAUUAGAAGGAACACCAAUAGCGAAGGCAGGUUGCUGGGACGGUUCUGACACUAAGGCACGAAAGCGUAGGGAGCAAACGGGAUUAGAUACCCGUGUAGUC